Molecule: ribosomal RNA, 386 nt
Filed under: uncultured Hyphomonas sp.
Lineage: Bacteria; Pseudomonadati; Pseudomonadota; Alphaproteobacteria; Hyphomonadales; Hyphomonadaceae
Description: bacterial SSU rRNA
Rfam family: Bacterial small subunit ribosomal RNA
Source: RNAcentral
CCCUUGACAUGUCUAGUAUGGUUUCCAGAGAUGGAUCCUUCAGUUCGGCUGGCUAGAACACAGGUGCUGCAUGGCUGUCGUCAGCUCGUGUCGUGAGAUGUUGGGUUAAGUCCCGCAACGAGCGCAACCCUCAUCCUUAGUUGCCAUCACGUUUGGGUGGGCACUCUAAGGAAACUGCCGGUGGCAAGCCGGAGGAAGGUGGGGAUGACGUCAAGUCCUCAUGGCCCUUACGGGUAGGGCUACACACGUGCUACAAUGGCAGUGACAAUGGGAUAAUCCCAAAAAGCUGUCUCAGUUCGGAUUGUCGUCUGCAACUCGACGGCAUGAAGGUGGAAUCGCUAGUAAUCGUGGAUCAGCAUGCCACGGUGAAUACGUUCCCGGGCCUU